This 22-nucleotide transfer RNA is filed under the name Cairina moschata (Muscovy duck). RNAcentral describes it as "partial tRNA-Phe". Lineage: Eukaryota; Metazoa; Chordata; Aves; Anseriformes; Anatidae. The record is from RNAcentral.
GUCCUCAUAGCUUAACACCAAA